This is a long non-coding RNA of Salvelinus fontinalis (brook trout), 950 nucleotides long. RefSeq lists it as uncharacterized. NCBI's taxonomy places the organism in Eukaryota, Metazoa, Chordata, Actinopteri, Salmoniformes, Salmonidae. The transcript has 2 exons. The record is from RefSeq and is a predicted model, not a curated record.
AACGCAGCCAUGCUUUGCAGAAGCUAGAGCAUUGCUCAUACUGGUAUCCACUACUCGCCUGCCGGAGUCGUCCGAUUGUCCAUCGCUACACCGAAAUAACCGGGAAUACAAGUUGCUUUGCUAAGACCAAAAAUAACUACACCAUAUAGUGACGUGAAAGACAACACAAACGAAUGGAUACACGAAAAGACUAUAAGAUGGACCAUAUGGCGAGAGAUGAUAUUUGAUGGAGGAAUACGACGAGGUUGAAGUCUACAUCUGUCCGAAGCUUUUUUGAAGAGACGAUCAAACGUCCCGGCUCUCUUUUUUUGCCUCCCGAGAUGAAUUCGGACUAACCAUCAUUUUGAAACUCGCCACCAAAAAACAGCGCUAGUGACGACUUUAACCCAUUACGCACCAAGUUCAAUGCCCGCGGGCCUUCAAUAGGCUUAGCCUAUUGCAAACAUUUUUCAAAUUUUGCCAAAUUACAUUCAGUUUUCACGGUGGGGUAAUGUAUAUACAUUUAUCAGCAACUUUGUCUACCAUUACAGAAUGAUUGGCUGUUUUGGGAGUCCAACUUCAAAGAACAAUGACAUCGACAUUGACAAGAUGUAUAUCCACAUAACUAUACUAUAACUAUGAAGGAACGGGUGGGUACAUUGAACAAGGAAUAGUAUGAGUCGAAGUGGUCACACACACACGCACACACACACACACAGAGAGGGAUCUGAGGUUCUGGUUCUGGCUUUCCGUGUUCACAGCGGACCUUGAUUUAAUGUCUUACAAUUAAGGCACGCGGUGAAUGCCAAGAGCGGAGCCUGCUAUCGUCGGCGCGAGAGCACACAGCUUUCAUUAAAACAACACGCUAAAGGGAUAACGGAAACGCUUUGUGUGUCUGCAAUUGUUGUCUGUAAAUUGCCCUCUAUUUUGUAUUGUUUUCUUUUUUCAGAAUAAAGAAAUUGUACCCAAUA